CAGAACAACAUUAGCUCAUAUUAGCUGUAUGAGAGGAAGCAGUUCAUGUCAACACUGUAAGGAAAACAUUGGAUUUCUCUAGUGUUUUUGUUAGUUAGCUUUGUUUUGUGACUUGUUCACAGGAACAAUGAAGUCAAUUUAUGAUACCACCAAAUAAUAAAUGCUAUACAAAGCAAGCUGCAUUGACAAGCAACUCUAUUUAUUAGAAUUUUGAGUCAUAAAGGGAAGGUAUUAAACUGACAAUUUCUAAAACAAAAUAGCAAAUGCAAAUUUUUUUUACUUGCAGUUCCCCUUGUGGCAAUUGCAGUGUUACUUUUGACAGUGAGGCAGGGAUACAUGUGAAUCAUAUAUAUACAAAAAUAUUCUUUUUCACACGCUAGAAAAGAAUGAUGAGGUCUUGGUCUGUGG
This 408-nucleotide unclassified non-coding RNA is filed under the name Hevea brasiliensis (rubber tree). Lineage: Eukaryota; Viridiplantae; Streptophyta; Magnoliopsida; Malpighiales; Euphorbiaceae. The record is from RNAcentral.